UUUUAUCAACUCAUUUGACUGUCUUGUUAUUAUGAUUAUUUCAUGUGGCAAAACCAAUUGAUGUCCAAAUUUUCACUCUUCAAAUGUUCAUUGAGGUUUAAGUUUCCUUUUCACCUCAAUUGGUUGACAAGGGUUUGAAGGAAAUGUGAAAUUUCAUAAUGACAUUGAUUCAGCCUAAAUGGUUUAAAGAUGUGCAUUGUUUGUUUUUUUUCGUUUAUGUCAUUGAAUAGAAACAAAAUGUCUGUCUUUUGUUGAAUCAUUUGUUUUGGUAAUUUAUAUACUUCUAUUUUCUUCUUAUGAUGCGUGGCUGUGUGUUGAUUGAUGACAUUAAAUUGUUCUUGUUUAACAGCUGGGUAUGUAGACCUUCCUGA
RNAcentral lists this unclassified non-coding RNA (371 nucleotides) under Hevea brasiliensis (rubber tree). The record is from RNAcentral. Lineage: Eukaryota; Viridiplantae; Streptophyta; Magnoliopsida; Malpighiales; Euphorbiaceae.